AUAUCAAUAAGCGGAGGAAAAGAAACCAACAGGGAUUGCCCUAGUAACGGCGAGUGAAGCGGCAAAAGCUCAAAUUUGAAAUCUGACCUUUUAGGUCCGAGUUGUAAUUUGUAGAGGAUGUUUCGGGUAAGAUCUAGGCCUAAGUUCCUUGGAACAGGACGUCAUAGAGGGUGAGAAUCCCGUACGUGGCUCAUGAUCGCACCCAUGUGAAACUCCUUCGACGAGUCGAGUUGUUUGGGAAUGCAGCUCAAAAUGGGUGGUAAAUUUCAUCUAAAGCUAAAUAUUGGCCAGAGACCGAUAGCGCACAAGUAGAGUGAUCGAAGGAUGAAAAGCACUUUGAAAAGAGAGUUAAAAAGCAUGUGAAAUUGUUGAAAGGGAAGCGCUUGCAGCCAGACUUGUUUAAUAGGGUUCAGCCGUCGUUUUCGUCGGUGUAUUUCCUUAUUAUCAGGCCAGCAUCAGUUUAAGUGGAAGGUUAAAGGCCUUGGGAAUGUGGCAUCCUCCGGGUUGCUUUAUAGCCCUUGGUGUAAUGCUUCCUACCUAGACUGAGGCACGCGUUCGCUAGGAUGCUGGCGUAAUGGCUGUAAGCGA
Molecule: ribosomal RNA, 588 nt
Filed under: uncultured fungus
Lineage: Eukaryota; Fungi
Description: eukaryotic LSU rRNA
Rfam family: Eukaryotic large subunit ribosomal RNA
Source: RNAcentral